AACGAACGCUGGCGGCAUGCCUAACACAUGCAAGUCGAACGAGACCUUCGGGUCUAGUGCCGCACGGGUGCUUAACGCGUGGGAACCUGCCCUUAGGUUCGGAAUAACUCCCCGAAAGGGGUGCUAUUACCGGAUAAUGUCUUCGGACCAAAGAUUUAUCGCCUUUGGAUGGGCCCGCGUUGGAUUAGCUAGUUGGUAGGGUAAAAGCCUACCAAGGCGACGAUCCAUAGCUGGUCUGAGAGGAUGAUCAGCCACACUGGGACUGAGACACGGCCCAGACUCCUACGGGAGGCAGCAGUGGGGAAUAUUGGACAAUGGGCGAAAGCCUGAUCCAGCAAUGCCGCGUGAGUGAUGAAGGCCUUAGGGUUGUAAAGCUCUUUUACCCGGGAUGAUAAUGACAGUACCGGGAGAAUAAGCUCCGGCUAACUCCGUG
Molecule: ribosomal RNA, 433 nt
Filed under: uncultured bacterium
Lineage: Bacteria
Description: partial 16S ribosomal RNA
Rfam family: Bacterial small subunit ribosomal RNA
Source: RNAcentral